UACGAAGGGGGCUAGCGUUGCUCGGAAUCACUGGGCGUAAAGGGUGCGUAGGCGGGUUAUUAAGUCAGAGGUGAAAUCCUGGAGCUCAACUCCAGAACUGCCUUUGAUACUGAUAGUCUUGAGUAUGGGAGAGGUGAGUGGAACUGCGAGUGUAGAGGUGAAAUUCGUAGAUAUUCGCAAGAACACCAGUGGCGAAGGCGGCUCACUGGCCCAUUACUGACGCUGAGGCACGAAAGCGUGGGGGGCGAACAGG
Molecule: ribosomal RNA, 253 nt
Filed under: uncultured bacterium
Lineage: Bacteria
Description: partial 16S ribosomal RNA
Rfam family: Bacterial small subunit ribosomal RNA
Source: RNAcentral